Hypanus sabinus (Atlantic stingray) is the source of this 126-nucleotide small nuclear RNA. The record is from RefSeq and is a predicted model, not a curated record. Lineage: Eukaryota; Metazoa; Chordata; Chondrichthyes; Myliobatiformes; Dasyatidae.
GUGUUGUAUGAAAGGAGAGGAGGUUGGCACUCUCCUUGCUAAGUAUGGAAGAGUCACUAGUGGUCUUAUGACACUCAGUGUUUAUGGCAUCAUCAUCUACACAGUGGCAUCUAACCAUGUUUUUUG